AGCUUAUCAAUGAUGUCAAAAAUAUAAAUGUCUGAACAUAUGAGUUCUCUAGUGAUUUCACUUGUGUUACUGAGAUAAGCU
Small nucleolar RNA from Pseudophryne corroboree (corroboree frog), 81 nucleotides. RefSeq annotates it as small nucleolar RNA SNORD72. NCBI's taxonomy places the organism in Eukaryota, Metazoa, Chordata, Amphibia, Anura, Myobatrachidae. The record is from RefSeq and is a predicted model, not a curated record. The transcript has a single exon.